RNAcentral lists this ribosomal RNA (845 nucleotides) under marine sediment metagenome. Its description in RNAcentral is "SSU rRNA". It matches the Rfam family "Archaeal small subunit ribosomal RNA", at positions 450 to 1297 of the family's 1478-position model. The record is from RNAcentral.
GACCGUUGCCAGCCGCCGCGGUAAUAACGGCACCACAAGUGGGGAUCACGAAUAUUGGGUCUGAAGCAUCCGUAGCCGGUUUGUUAAGUCUCUUGUGAAAUCCUGUAGAAAACUACAGGGCGUGCAAGAGAUACUGGCAAACUUGGGACUGGGAAGAGUUAGAGGUACUUUUAGGGUAGGGGUAAAAUCCUGUAAUCCUAAAGGGACCACCUGUGGCGAAGGCGUCUAACUGGAACGGGUCCGACGGUGAGGGAUGAAAGCUAGGGGAGCAAAGCGGAUUAGAUACCCGCGUAGUCCUAGCUGUAAACGAUGCCCGUUAGGUAUUGGAAAUCUUUCGUGGAUUUUCAGUGCCGUAGGGAAGCCAUUAAACGGGCCACCUGGGAAGUAUAGUCGCAAGGCUGAAACUUGAAGGAAUUGGCGGGAGAGCACACAAGGGGUGCGGCUUGCGGUUCAAUUGGAUUCAACGCCGGGAACCUCACCUAGAGUGACAGCACAAUGAUGGUCAGUCUAAAGGGCUUACCUGAGGCGCUGAGAGGUAUUGCAUGGCCGCCUUCAGCUCGUACUGUGAAGCGUCCUGUUAAGUCAGGCAACGAGCGAGAUCCGUGCCUUAUGUUGCUAUUUAUUUCUUCGGAGAUAAAGCACUCAUAAGGGACCGCUACUGAUAAAGUAGAGGAAGGAACGGGCCACGGUAGGUCAGUAUGGUCCGAAUCUCUAGGGCUACACGCGAGCAACAAUGGUAAGGACAAUGGGAUGCAACUCCGAAAGGAGGAGCUAAUCCUCGAAACCUUAUCUUAGUACGGAUUGAGGAUUGCAACUCAUCCUCAUGACGCCGGAAUCCCUAGUAG